RNAcentral lists this ribosomal RNA (913 nucleotides) under uncultured bacterium. RNAcentral describes it as "bacterial SSU rRNA". It matches the Rfam family "Bacterial small subunit ribosomal RNA", at positions 8 to 960 of the family's 1533-position model. The record is from RNAcentral.
AGAGUUUGAUCAUGGCUCAGGAUAAACGCUGGCGGCGUGCUUUGGUAUGCAAGUGGAACGUCUCUACUUUUUGUAGAGAGUCGCGAACGGCCGAGUAACACGUGGGAAUCUGCCUCUAGGUGGGGAAUAGUCCGUCGAAAGAUGGGUUAAUACCGCAUAAUAUCAUGCUACGCAUGAUUAAAGAGCUUAACUGCUCGCCAAGAGAAGAGCCUGCGGCCUAUCAGCUUGUUGGUGAGGUAAAGGCUCACCAAGGCUAAGACGGGUAGGGGACUUGAGAGAGUGUACCCCCGGAAUGGCACUGAGAUACGGGCCAUACACCUACGGGUGGCGCAACCAGGAAUCGUGCGCAAUGGACGAAAGUCUGACGCCGCGACGCCGCGUGUGGGAUGAAUGCCUUCGGGUUGUAAACCACUUUUGAUUGUUGGGAGACCAACUUUAGAAUAAGCACCGGCUAACUACGUGCCAGCAGCAGCGGUAAAACGUAGGGUGCAAGCGUUGUCCGGAUUUAUUGGGCGUAAAGGGUUCGUAGGCGUUUUUGUAAGUUAAAUCUCAAAUACCGAGGCUUAACUUCGGAAAGGGAGGUAAUACUGCAAAAAUAGAAAUACUUAGGGGCUACCGGAACUUACUAUGUAGGGGUGAAAUCCGUUGAUAUGGUAAGGAACGUCGAGGGCGAAGGCAGGUAGCUGGGAGUUAUUUGACGCUGAGGAACGAAAGCUAGGGUAGCGAAAGGGAUUAGAGACCCCUGUAGUCCUAGCCGUAAACGAUGCUCGCUAGGGAUGUGUCCUUUUGGAUGCGUUCCGUAAGCUAACGCGUGAAGCGAGCCGCCUGGGGAGUACGAACGCAAGUUUAAAACUCAAAGGAAUUGACGGGGACCUGCACAACCAGUGGAGCAUGUGGUUUAAUUCGAGACGAA